UACAGAGGGGGCAAGCGUUGUUCGGAAUUACUGGGCGUAAAGGGCGCGUAGGCGGCCCGCUAAGUCGAACGUGAAAUCCCCGAGCUCAACUCGGGAACUGCGUCCGAUACUGGUGGGCUUGAAUCCGGGAGAGGGAUGCGGAAUUCCAGGUGUAGCGGUGAAAUGCGUAGAUAUCUGGAGGAACACCUGUGGCGAAGGCGCCUUGCUGGCCGAUUUCUGACGCUGAGGCGCGAAAGCGUGGGGAGCAAACAGG
This 253-nucleotide ribosomal RNA is filed under the name uncultured bacterium. RNAcentral's name for it is "partial 16S ribosomal RNA". It matches the Rfam family "Bacterial small subunit ribosomal RNA", at positions 524 to 776 of the family's 1533-position model. The record is from RNAcentral.